UACGAAGGGGGCUAGCGUUGUUCGGAAUUACUGGGCGUAAAGGGCGCGUAGGCGGUCCCUCAAGUCAGGCGUGAAAGCCCCGGGCUCAACCUGGGAACUGCGCUUGAGACUGGUGGGCUAGAGUUCGGGAGAGGAUGGUGGAAUUCCCAGUGUAGAGGUGAAAUUCGUAGAUAUUGGGAAGAACACCGAUGGCGAAGGCAGCCAUCUGGACCGACACUGACGCUGAGGCGCGAAAGCGUGGGGAGCAAACAGG
This 253-nucleotide ribosomal RNA is filed under the name uncultured bacterium. RNAcentral describes it as "partial 16S ribosomal RNA". It matches the Rfam family "Bacterial small subunit ribosomal RNA", at positions 524 to 776 of the family's 1533-position model. The record is from RNAcentral.